AUGUUUCUUCACUUUGACAGCAUAUAUGCUAAAAUGAAACAAUACAGAAAAAACUAACAAGGCUCCUGUUGCAAGAAUGACAAGCAAAUUUAAAAAGUGUAUUAGUUUUCU
Molecule: small nuclear RNA, 111 nt
Filed under: Carlito syrichta (Philippine tarsier)
Lineage: Eukaryota; Metazoa; Chordata; Mammalia; Primates; Tarsiidae
Source: RNAcentral